UACAGAGGUCUCGAGCGUUAGGCGGAAUCACUGGGCUUAAAGCGUGUGUAGGCGGAUCGGUAAGUACCUUGUGAAAUCCCACAGCUUAACUGUGGAACUGCUUGGUAUACUGCCAGUCUUGAGCCAGCUAGGGGCUACCGGAACAAAUGGUGGAGCGGUGAAAUGCGUAGAUAUCAGUUGGAACGCCAAUGGUGAAAACAGGUAGCUGGGGCUGUGCUGACGCUGAGACACGAAAGCCAGGGGAGCAAACGGG
RNAcentral lists this ribosomal RNA (253 nucleotides) under uncultured bacterium. Its description in RNAcentral is "partial 16S ribosomal RNA". It matches the Rfam family "Bacterial small subunit ribosomal RNA", at positions 524 to 776 of the family's 1533-position model. The record is from RNAcentral.